This 338-nucleotide long non-coding RNA is filed under the name Chinchilla lanigera (long-tailed chinchilla). Its description in RNAcentral is "lncRNA (ENSCLAG00000022255.1)". Lineage: Eukaryota; Metazoa; Chordata; Mammalia; Rodentia; Chinchillidae. The record is from RNAcentral.
AUGGGGAGUUUUGCAGACCACUUUGGACUUCUGCAGGUGGAGAACACGCUGGUGGUGCUUGUGGAGAAGAGUCACCAGCACACCAUGCUGCUGUGUGCAUUCUGUCCCUUUCUCCGCUGCACGUUGAGGACACCGGCUGGAUGGCGUCUUUCUGCCCUGUGUCCAAGUCACGCAGCACAGACCUGCUAUUCAGUGCUGAAUACUUUUUGUGAGUAAACGGUUAAACGUGGCUUUGGGCUGUAAAGCUGCAGAAUGGUCACAGAGAAGAGCUGAGAAGACAGUGUGAGAUACUGGGGAGGUCACUCGUACUCCUUAUGGAUAUUACUGUGGACUGACCU